UACAGAGGGGGCAAGCGUUGUUCGGAAUCACUGGGCGUAAAGGGCGCGUAGGCGGCCUCAGGUGUCGGAUGUGAAAGCCCGGGGCUCAACCCCGGAGGUGCAUCCGAAACUCUGGGGCUGGAGGUCGGAAGAGGAGGGUGGAAUACCCAGUGUAGAGGUGAAAUUCGUAGAUAUCAGGAGGAACACCGGUGGCGAAGGCGGGUCUCUGGGCCGAUACUGACGCUGAGGAGCGAAAGCGUGGGGAGCGAACAGG
RNAcentral lists this ribosomal RNA (253 nucleotides) under uncultured bacterium. RNAcentral's name for it is "partial 16S ribosomal RNA". It matches the Rfam family "Bacterial small subunit ribosomal RNA", at positions 524 to 776 of the family's 1533-position model. The record is from RNAcentral.